GACUCCCUGACGGCCCACAACAGCUCCCUGUUCUCCACCAAAGACCAGGACAACGACGGGCACACAGGGAGCUGCGCCCAGGUCUACCAGGGCGCCUGGUGGUACUACAACUGCCACGUGUCAGCUUGUCCGGGCGCUACCUCGGGGGCCCCCACGAGAGCUACGCGAAGGGCAUCAACUGGAAGUCGGGGAAGGGCCACAACUACAGCUACAAGGUGGCCGAGAUGAAGGUGCGGCCCACAUAGGGUGGUCGGCGGCCUGGAGCAUCUCCGAGCAGGUCCUGUCCCCCCAGCACGGGCACAGGAGGCUCUCCCACAAAGGCGGAGCUCAACCUGGCCCCACCCCUGGCCCAUCACGGACCCUCAGCUUUGAGACCCCGACUGACUCCCACCUUCCUCUCCCGCCUGCCAGGGUGAGGGUGACCCUGACCUUGCACACUGCACGCAUCCUCAAUAAAGCUUCGCCUCUCUCCACAGGCACA
Molecule: long non-coding RNA, 481 nt
Organism: Myotis brandtii (Brandt's bat)
Lineage: Eukaryota; Metazoa; Chordata; Mammalia; Chiroptera; Vespertilionidae
Exons: 2
Source: RefSeq, a predicted model, not a curated record